CCUACGGGGGGCUGCAGUGAGGAAUAUUGGUCAAUGGACGAGAGUCUGAACCAGCCAAGUAGCGUGAAGGAUGACUGCCCUAUGGGUUGUAAACUUCUUUUAUAUGGGAAUAAAACGUUCCACGUGUGGGAUUUUGUAUGUACCAUAUGAAUAAGGAUCGGCUAACUCCGUGCCAGCAGCCGCGGUAAUACGGAGGAUCCGAGCGUUAUCCGGAUUUAUUGGGUUUAAAGGGAGCGUAGGUGGAUUGGUAAGUCAGUUGUGAAAGUUUGCGGCUCAACCGUAAAAUUGCAGUUGAAACUGGCAGUCUUGAGUACAGUAGAGGUGGGCGGAAGUCGUGGUGUAGCGGUGAAAUGCUUAGAUAUCACGAAGAACUCCGAUUGCGAAGGCAGUUCACUGGACUGCAACUGACACUGAGGCUCGAAAGUGUGGGUAUCAAACAGGAUUAGAUACCCGAGUAGUC
This 460-nucleotide ribosomal RNA is filed under the name uncultured bacterium. RNAcentral describes it as "partial 16S ribosomal RNA". It matches the Rfam family "Bacterial small subunit ribosomal RNA", at positions 338 to 795 of the family's 1533-position model. The record is from RNAcentral.